AAAUUGAAGAGUUUGAUCAUGGCUCAGAUUGAACGCUGGCGGCAGGCCUAACACAUGCAAGUCGAACGGUAACAGGAAUCAGCUUGCUGAUUCGCUGACGAGUGGCGGACGGGUGAGUAAUGUCUGGGAAACUGCCUGAUGGAGGGGGAUAACUACUGGAAACGGUAGCUAAUACC
This 176-nucleotide ribosomal RNA is filed under the name Escherichia coli. RNAcentral describes it as "partial 16S ribosomal RNA". It matches the Rfam family "Bacterial small subunit ribosomal RNA", at positions 1 to 170 of the family's 1533-position model. RNAcentral also lists the same sequence under 1 other name. The record is from RNAcentral. Lineage: Bacteria; Pseudomonadati; Pseudomonadota; Gammaproteobacteria; Enterobacterales; Enterobacteriaceae.